AAUAUUGGACAAUGGGCGGAAGCCUGAUCCAGCCAUGCCGCGUGUGUGAAGAAGGUCUUCGGAUUGCAAAGCACUUUAAUUUGGGAGGAAGGGCAGUUAACGAAUACUUAACUGUUUUGACGUGACCAAAAGAAUAAGCACCGGCUCACUUCGUGCCAGCAGCCGCGGUAAUACGAAGGGUGCAAGCGUUUAUCGGAAUUACUGGGCGUAAAGCGCGCGUAGGUGGUUCGUUAAGUUGGAAGUGAAAGCCCCGGGCUCAACCUGGGAAUUGCUUUCAAGACUGGCGAGCUAGAGUACGGUAGAGGGUGGUGGAAUUUCCUGUGUAGCGGUGAAAUGCGUAGAUAUAGGAAGGAACAUCAGUGGCGAAGGCAGCCCCCUGGGCCGAUACUGACGCUCAUGCACGAAAGCGUGGGUAGCAAACAGG
RNAcentral lists this ribosomal RNA (424 nucleotides) under uncultured bacterium. RNAcentral describes it as "partial 16S ribosomal RNA". It matches the Rfam family "Bacterial small subunit ribosomal RNA", at positions 360 to 776 of the family's 1533-position model. The record is from RNAcentral.